CGUCCCAUCUUUUAAAAGUUAAGAAGUUCCCUGUUUCAGAAGGUCAGUGUUGGCACUGGCACCUCCCCUUCCUAAAUCCUUCACCUGUUUGCAGCUUUCUCAUGGCACGGUUUACGACGACACACGACUGCCUACAAACCGUUGUCCUCCACCUCGCUCCCUUGCUUACAAAGUGAAGCUGGCAGAGGAGGGUGCGGGAAGAGAACAGAAACCUUUCUGGACCAUCUGACAGAUCCCAGACACCGUCAGCCAGGGCACAGAGCAACAGCCCAUCUUAAGGACACUCAGGGAAGCCAGGGACUGUGCCCUAAACAGCACAGGAUUACUACCUACCCCAGCUGGGUCACCAAGGAAACAGCUGAGGCACUCCCAAUUCUGAUAUGAACCAAGAAUGGGCCCCCUGCCCCUUCUUCGUGGCUACUUCGGACAGGACAGAAGUUAUCAGCCCUGAGUGCAGACUCACAGGAGAGGCUGCGAAGAGUGGCAAGCGUUAUUACUCAGAUAUGCAGGUUUGCUGUGCCUUCAGCCAUAACUAUGUCAUGUUUCCUUGAGCAAGGAGCGGAGACUUCAUAUGAGGGAAACCCUGACACUGAGCGGUCACUGGGGGAACUGAGACAGAUGCGUGUCUGAGGAGCAGCCACUCAGUACAUCAAGAUCGUCUCUGGAAACUGCACACAAGCCUUGUUGUCAGAGCAGACUUCGAAUCCUGAGUCUACUUCCUGUAACCCAAGUGGCCUUCAGAAGCUCACCAUGUCUGUGUGUAUUGAAAGUAAUGGCUGCAGCCCUGCCCUCACAACAACCAUCUGUCAUUAAUGCCAGGAGGAAGAGGCGUGAACAAACAAGAUAAGGUAGGAAGCCUGUCCUAUUUGAAUAACUGUUAGCGGUGAGACAUUCCGAGCAUGAAUACAAGAGGUGAUGGAGCACAACACAGCUCUAACAAGCCAGAGAGCUCCAAAGGUCUCCCAUUUGACCAACCUCUCUCUGCUGCUGUGUUUGAUGGACAACCCAAAGAUGAUGGACGGUAGAGAGCUGUCAGCCGUGAAGCACUUGAAGACACUUUGAUGCUAGUAACGCCAUUUUCAAAUUAGCCCUGGACUGAGUUAAAUAUCAACGAAAGGGAGUGGGACAGCACUCGUGAGAUCAUCCCUAAGAGAAGAAGCGAGAUUUAAUAGUUUGGUGGUUACAGUAACCGCUAUCCUGCAAGAAAAAAUCAAUAUCUACACAGUGUUAGAAUCACACCAAGGGCUCCUGGAGCUGAGCCAUUUCAGCGAAGAAUACACCCGGCUUCAUUAGAGUAGAAAGAGUGUGGUAGGAGGUCAGACACACAUGCGCCCUGGGCUCUUUUGUCGGGAAACCAGGAAGAAGCGCUCCUCUCAGGAGCCGAGCAUUUUUUUAAAAGCAUAGAACUUACAGAGCUGGAAGUGACCUUAGCAAUCACUGAGUCCAGCCCCUUCUUUUUCCAGAUGAGGAAAGAGUGGCCCAGAAAGACUACUUGGCUUGCUCCAGUUCACACAGCGGGCUGGUGAGAUUUCCUCCAUGCACGCCACUCGUGCCCACUCUUAGAGUUCAUGCCUCAGGCCACUGCUGUUCCCUGAGAGCCACCGUGGAAGGCAGUCUGCUAGGGAGCAACAGGAAAGCUGAGCCAGUUCUUGCCCUCUCUCUCACAGCCCGAGAGCAGGUGCUGCCUGCACCCGGUGACUAAAGCAGCAGUGUUAGACAACAUCCAAGAGCUGUCCCAGGGCACAACAUAGAUUUUGUGUGUCUACCCUUUCUGCCCCACCAAUGGUGUAGAUCGUAGAUGCACAGGUAUUUCUACCCCAGGUUCUGAGUUGGAAGAAGUCCAAGUUAUGCAGGAUCCAAAGAACAUGGAUCCAAAGAUAUGGACAGACUGCGUCAUUCGCAUCUUAACCUUGAAUGUAAGCAGCUGCUCUAUCUGUAGCCCUGCACAACCCAAGGAAACAAUUCCAACUGAGCAUGAGUUUCUGGAAUAAGGCCCAGAAAAGGAAGAGGGAGUGCUCUCUCUUUGUGUUCACCAAAUAUUAAAUGUUAAAAUGUGGGAAUUUCAAAAAGUUCAUGAAAAAUGAAAUUAAAUAAAUUUACUGUGGUACAAAAUAAAAUCGCACAAUUUUUUUCCAAGACACAUUGACCAUAACAUUUUUUUUU
Molecule: non-coding RNA, 2163 nt
Organism: Oryctolagus cuniculus (rabbit)
Lineage: Eukaryota; Metazoa; Chordata; Mammalia; Lagomorpha; Leporidae
Source: RefSeq, a predicted model, not a curated record